UAGAGUUUGAUCCUGGCUCAGAUUGAACGCUGGCGGCAGGCCUAACACAUGCAAGUCGAGCGGUAACAGAAAUUAGCUUGCUAAUUUGCUGACGAGCGGCGGACGGGUGAGUAAUGCCUGGGAAUAUGCCUUAGUGUGGGGGAUAACUAUUGGAAACGAUAGCUAAUACCGCAUAAUGUCUUCGGACCAAAGAGGGGGACCUUCGGGCCUCUCGCGCUAAGAUUAGCCCAGGUGAGAUUAGCUAGUUGGUGAGGUAAGAGCUCACCAAGGCGACGAUCUCUAGCUGGUCUGAGAGGAUGAUCAGCCACACUGGAACUGAGACACGGUCCAGACUCCUACGGGAGGCAGCAGUGGGGAAUAUUGCGCAAUGGGCGAAAGCCUGAUGCAGCCAUGCCGCGUGUAUGAAGAAGGCCUUCGGGUUGUAAAGUACUUUCAGUAGGGAGGAAGGCGUUGUCGUUAAUAGCGGCUUCGUUUGACGUUACCUACAGAAGAAGCACCGGCUAACUCCGUGCCAGCAGCCGCGGUAAUACGGAGGGUGCGAGCGUUAAUCGGAAUUACUGGGCGUAAAGCGCAUGCAGGUGGUUCAUUAAGUCAGAUGUGAAAGCCCGGGGCUCAACCUCGGAACCGCAUUUGAAACUGGUGAACUAGAGUGCUGUAGAGGGGGGUAGAAUUUCA
RNAcentral lists this ribosomal RNA (675 nucleotides) under uncultured Vibrionaceae bacterium. RNAcentral's name for it is "bacterial SSU rRNA". It matches the Rfam family "Bacterial small subunit ribosomal RNA", at positions 1 to 671 of the family's 1533-position model. The record is from RNAcentral. Lineage: Bacteria; Pseudomonadati; Pseudomonadota; Gammaproteobacteria; Vibrionales; Vibrionaceae.